AUCGAAACAGAUGUAGCUGAUUUCAGGUGGAACAAAUAAUUUAAAUCGUACCUGAAUUGUAUUUUGAAUUAAAAUAUAUGUAGCUGUUAAAAUGUUUCUUCAUUGGAAAGAAUCAUCAAAAUUCUGCGCAAUCGGACUUGUAAUUUUAACGUUACCUGUCCUAGCAUAUGCAUGUACAUGGGGAAAUUAUGACGAUUGUCCGUCGUCGCCUAGCUGUUCUAAGAGCUGUGGUGGUGGUUCAAGGUGCAGGACAUGCGAGUCGUGCUUCUGGAAAAUUGACAAAACUUUCUGCGAAACGUGCAAUGCCUUUUGUUAUAAUGGCGGCGUGUAUCAAAGCGGAUCCUGUCAAUGUCAAUCUUGGAGAUCGGGGGAUUGCUGUGAGCGUAUUCGAUAGCUCUGAGGCGCGGAACCAAUAGUUGGAUAAAUAGCGUAAGGUGAAGGACGGAUCAUCGUACACGAUUAAAAUAAACUUUUAAACAUAACGAUUAUAUUAGUGUUUGGUGUGGACAAAAAGACAUCUCAUCAUGCCAUUUUCCAUUGCCUCAGCCGAUGGCAUGAGCAUAAUUUUAUUUUCGUAGCCGUUGGCAUGACAAUCUAAUUAGUAACCACGGCCGUUGUCUUGAGCCGUUUUUCAAACCCCACUCGAAUUUAAACGUUGAUAAAAAUGUUGUGUGUUCAUGUGGGAUGCUGUAAUUUGGAAUAACCGAAGACAAAUGAUUAAAGAUUUCAAUAAAA
Molecule: long non-coding RNA, 735 nt
Organism: Dreissena polymorpha
Lineage: Eukaryota; Metazoa; Mollusca; Bivalvia; Myida; Dreissenidae
Exons: 3
Source: RefSeq, a predicted model, not a curated record